Dromaius novaehollandiae (emu) is the source of this 873-nucleotide long non-coding RNA. Lineage: Eukaryota; Metazoa; Chordata; Aves; Casuariiformes; Dromaiidae. The record is from Ensembl.
CCGCUCGAUGCCGUCGUUAGUGGCCCUUGGUUGGCCGUACGGCGAGGACUCACCGUAGAGGCAGCGAUAACCAGGUGGUUGAUGCCAUAAUUAGGACUGAAAGUCUUAACCAUGAGUGGACGGUGUUAUUUUGGUGGUUACCAGUGUGGCCAAGAGUCAAGGCAGCUCAGUAGCUGCCUUGGGGAAGACGGGGAGAGCUGUUGAUGUGGUUACAGGGCUGAAACCCGCUGGCCAUGAGCGGUAAUGUGUUCAGCGGCCAGUGACAUCGCUGGGAUUUGACUCUGCAGCGUCACCAGUAACACUUCUCAGUGGCUGCGUCUCAAAACAACCAUCUGCAGAAGAUACUUUCAGUGGUUAGCAGUCCAGGGUCCAAAAAUUUUGAGGCCUUUUUGAUAGAAAGUAGAGAUCAAUAGUGUCACAGCCCUUCUGUAAAACUCGUAAUUACAUCAAAAGUUGGCAUUGGUUUCAUCCUUCAGUGAUAGCUUCAAGGCAGGGACAAAGGUUUAAAUUGGAUGAACUUCUCUACAGCUUCUGUAGAGGUUGCGUGGAAGUCAGAACUGAGGCACGUAGACGUGGCAAUACAGCCCAGGCUUCGGAGCUGUCCGCAUAAGUUAUAAACAGGUAAACAUUUGUGUUUCAUCUAAUAAAUAGCAACUGUACAUGCACCCUGGACAUUUUACUAGAUUUGCUGCACUACAGGUGUUUACAUUGAUGAAUCUACAACUAAGAAGAAAAAGGAAACAAGUCUUGAAGUGUAAAGAAAGUAUUUUUUCAGGUGUUUUGUUGAACAACUUUCCAAGAAUUGAAGUGGAGCUGAAUGUUAUAUGUUUCCCAGUUUCCCCUUUUGAAGGUAGGUUGUGAUUGACUCUUGUG